CGGCCUUGAAAUACCACCCUUUAAUGUUUGAUGUUCUAACGUGGACCCGUGAUCCGGGUUGCGGACAGUGUCUGGUGGGUAGUUUGACUGGGGCGGUCUCCUCCUAAAGAGUAACGGAGGAGCACGAAGGUUGGCUAAUCCUGGUCGGACAUCAGGAGGUUAGUGCAAUGGCAUAAGCCAGCUUGACUGCGAGCGUGACGGCGCGAGCAGGUGCGAAAGCAGGUCAUAGUGAUCCGGUGGUUCUGAAUGGAAGGGCCAUCGCUCAACGGAUAAAAGGUACUCCGGGGAUAACAGGCUGAUACCGCCCAAGAGUUCAUAUCGACGGCGGUGUUUGGCACCUCGAUGUCGGCUCAUCACAUCCUGGGGCUGAAGUAGGUCCCAAGGGUAUGGCUGUUCGCCAUUUAAAGUGGUACGCGAGCUGGGUUUAGAACGUCGUGAGACAGUUCGGUCCCUAUCUGCCGUGGGCGCUGGAGAACUGAGGGGGGCUGCUCCUAGUACGAGAGGA
This 505-nucleotide ribosomal RNA is filed under the name Shigella sonnei. Its description in RNAcentral is "partial 23S ribosomal RNA". It matches the Rfam family "Bacterial large subunit ribosomal RNA", at positions 2187 to 2691 of the family's 2925-position model. The record is from RNAcentral. Lineage: Bacteria; Pseudomonadati; Pseudomonadota; Gammaproteobacteria; Enterobacterales; Enterobacteriaceae.